GAAACUAUUAAAGAACCUUUUAACUCUGUGAUGGCGAAAAUAUACCGCUGGCGGACGGCAGAUCGAAUCGCGCACAUCAAAACACCACCGGUGAGCGAGAAAUCCAGAAAGAGCGCUAAACGCCGCCGGGUCGGAUGCUUGCUACCUCCUCCUGCGCCCAGGGUUGUGCUGGGACUCUCUACAAUCUAAGGAGAGCCCCUUCAGACGAGAGCAACAGCACACACGCAGCAGGUAUUCAAGACGAUCGUCGCAUUGAGAUUGACUAGUGAUGAACAGCUGGCCAAGCGUUGAUUCCAUGACGAGUGUGUCUUUCGCUCGGGCAGUUUCUCUCCCGCGCUGUCCAACGUGUCCCGUACGCAGAAUCGCGAUCGUUACGACGGACGGUGUGUCUGCCAAAAAACCGGAUUGAGCGGGUCGCAGACUCUUUUCUAUUCUUCUUUUUUUUUUGUCUCCCAUUCAACGACUAUUUUUCUUUUACUUGGCUUGUUUUGUUUGUUUGUUUGUUUGCCCUGGCCAGAUAUCUUUUGAGGGACAGUAAAAAAAUAAAAUAAAAAAAAGACACACUGGGCAACGAAGGGGAAAAAAAAGUCAUUGAUUCUGCGCUUGUAUCUUUCUCUCUCCGUGUGUGUUUCUCUCUCUGUACGCGAGUUGGUGAUCGAUCGAUCCCCCCCCCCCUCACGCUCAUCCAUCGAAACUAGGCACGCUCCACUAAACACGCUUUUGUACAGAGAGUAGGCUAUAGUAUACUAUAUACGUAGAAAUGUACACCCAACUCUGUGUGCAGCGGGUCCCAAUUUUUUUUUUCUUUGGUUAUCUUUUCCGUGUUCAACUGAUUGUUGUGUCCUCGGGCCGCUGCGUGAACGAGUGAGAAUGUGUA
Long non-coding RNA from Daphnia pulex (common water flea), 877 nucleotides. RefSeq lists it as uncharacterized. The record is from RefSeq and is a predicted model, not a curated record. Lineage: Eukaryota; Metazoa; Arthropoda; Branchiopoda; Diplostraca; Daphniidae. The transcript is spliced from 2 exons.